RNAcentral lists this ribosomal RNA (433 nucleotides) under uncultured bacterium. RNAcentral's name for it is "partial 16S ribosomal RNA". It matches the Rfam family "Bacterial small subunit ribosomal RNA", at positions 29 to 507 of the family's 1533-position model. The record is from RNAcentral.
AACGAACGCUGGCGGCAUGCCUAACACAUGCAAGUCGAACGAUACCUUCGGGUCUAGUGGCGCACGGGUGCGUAACGCGUGGGAACCUGCCCUUAGGUUCGGAAUAACUCCCCGAAAGGGGUGCUAAUACCGGAUAAUGUCUUCGGACCAAAGAUUUAUCGCCUUUGGAUGGGCCCGCGUUGGAUUAGCUAGUUGGUAGGGUAAAAGCCUACCAAGGCGGCGAUCCAUAGCUGGUCUGAGAGGAUGAUCAGCCACACUGGGACUGAGACACGGCCCAGACUCGUACGGGAGGCAGCAGUGGGGAAUAUUGGACGAUGGGCGAAAGCCUGAUCCAGCAAUGCCGCGUGAGUGAUGAAGGCCUUAGGGUUGUAAAGCUCUUUUACCCGGGAUGAUAAUGACAGUACCGGGAGAAGAAGCUCCGGCUAACUACGUG